UGCAAUCUGCCUUUCACAGAGGGAUAGCCCAGAGAAAUUUGGAUUAAUACCUCAUAGCAUAAUCAAACCGCAUGGUUCGAUUAUUAAAGUCACAACGGUGAAAGAUGAGCAUGCGUCCCAUUAGCUAGUUGGUAAGGUAACGGCUUACCAAGGCAACGAUGGGUAGGGGUCCUGAGAGGGAGAUCC
Molecule: ribosomal RNA, 186 nt
Filed under: uncultured Bacteroidota bacterium
Lineage: Bacteria; Pseudomonadati; Bacteroidota
Description: uncultured Bacteroidetes bacterium partial 16S ribosomal RNA
Rfam family: Bacterial small subunit ribosomal RNA
Source: RNAcentral